UCCAUUGGCUAUACCACCCACCAACACCAAGACUGGUUCAAUAAGGGUGUCAUUGAGAUCCGAGCCCUCCUCAACCAGAAGAGAAGGGCUCAUUCUGCCUGGCAAGUUGACAACUCAUUGCAGCAGAAGAAAGAGACAUCACCACUCCAA
Molecule: long non-coding RNA, 150 nt
Organism: Gavialis gangeticus (Gharial)
Lineage: Eukaryota; Metazoa; Chordata; Crocodylia; Gavialidae
Exons: 3
Source: RefSeq, a predicted model, not a curated record